AAGUCGUAACAAGGUUUCCGUAGGUGAACCUGCGGAAGGAUCAUUAUCGAUUUUUAAAGAUGUGCUGGCACUCCUUCAUUGGUUUGCAUGUGCACUCUACAAAAUCUCCUUCUCUUACCCCACUGUGCACACCCAAGUAGACAAACAGAGUUACAGAGCAAUCUGUGUAAUUCCUGAUUUGCCUAUGUUUUUAUCAAACUCCAAUAACAAUCUCAGAAUGAUUCAUAUAGUAAGCUUUUAACAAGCUGAAAUUUAAUACAACUUUCAACAAUGGAUCUCUUGGUUCUC
Molecule: unclassified non-coding RNA, 288 nt
Filed under: Clavaria sp.
Lineage: Eukaryota; Fungi; Basidiomycota; Agaricomycetes; Agaricales; Clavariaceae
Description: partial contains small subunit ribosomal RNA, internal transcribed spacer 1, and 5.8S ribosomal RNA
Rfam family: Eukaryotic small subunit ribosomal RNA (bases 1-46)
Source: RNAcentral